AUAUGUUCUACUCUCGCUGUAGACCUGCAGGUGACGGUAGAUCCAGAUACAGUGACAGGAAAGCGGAUAAAAGCGACAUGCAGCACCUCUUGCAGAGUGACCUCUCCGCUUUAUUACUACUGGUACAGAAAUGGUCAACUUCUACGGAAUGAACAUGGGCCAGACAUCGACAUUUACUCUUCAUAUAAUUACUAUAAAGGAAAUUACUCUUGUACUAUAAAGGGCUUUGAAAAUAAUCGCUCUACAGCUGUGUGCAUCCUUGGUAACGAGUGUUGGGAUGUGACCUAUUCCUCUGAGACCAUCUGUGCUUUGAAGGGGUCCUCAGUGGACAUCAGCUGCAGUUACAAACACCCAGCAGGCCACACGCCCACGAGCCAAUUCUGGUUUUAUGAGCAACAAUCAAACACAGAGCCUGAGGACCUGAGUCUGGACCACACAUACGAAAGGCGUGUGGAGGAAUUACAGUGACCACACACUGAGACUGAGAGAUCUGACUGACGAAGACGCUAGGGAAUACUUCUUUAGGUUUGAGACGGAUAAAGAACAGAAAUUCAUCAGCAAACCUGGAGUCACGCUUUCAGUCACAAGCCUGCGAGUGCAUGUGACCCCAGCUGUAGUGACAGAGGGAGAGAGUGACACUAACCUGCAGCACCACCUGCAUUCUGAGUAACAACCCCACCUUCAUCUGGUUCAAGAAUUCACAACCAGUGACUACCGUACACACCACCGACAACAAUCAUCUGUACCUGGAUCCAGUGAACAGUAGUGACUCAGGUCUCUACACCUGUGCAGUGAGAGGACAAAUGGGUUCUCCUUCUGCAGCUGUCACUCUCAGUGUCAGAUGUAAGUAGAUCUGUUUCAAGUGAUCUGCAACAGAAACAACAAAUAAGGCACCUUCGACAUUUACCAUUUCCUAAAAUAUCCUCUACAUGAUUUAUAAUUUGAUGUUUGUUUCUGUAGUUUUUCACAUUUUGUUGUUGUUGUUGGUAUUUAUUUAGUUGUUUUUUCACAAUCAUUUGUUUUGAUUGCACCUGUUUUUUUUUUGAAAGACCACCCGGAACACUUUAGUGUCUGUGAGUCCCUCUGGUGAAGUGGAAGAGGGCCAAUCAGUGGUUCUCUCCUGCAGAAGUCAAGCCAACCCACCGGCACACACUUACACUUGGUACAAGAAAAGGGGACCUGAAAGUGUUCUAAAAAUGGUGGCUGAGGAAUUGAACCUGACUUUGACCUCAAGUGACGAGGGGCUGUACCACUGCGAGGCACACAAUGAAGUUGGCUCUCAGAACUCAUCUGUUACUGAGGUCCAUUUUGCAGGAGGACUAAACAUAAAGAGGCUUGUAGGCAUUGGAGCCAUUAUUCUGGCUGUCAUUUUGACUUUGGGACUUUUGCUGAGCAUGUCCUGGGAGAGAAACAGCGGAUCCAAUGAAGACGACAUGAGCGCAGAAAAUAAAACACAAGUGUGUUAAGGCCAUAUAAGUGACAGCAAUAUUACAAUACAAUAUUUCCAUUCCUUACAUCAACUGCUCUCUCAAACCACUAGGCGGAUGCAGCUCCUGUUUAUGCCAAUAUAUCUGCCAUGGCUGUGACAUCUGACGUUGCCAAGAGAGAGAAUGUAGAUGAUGAUGAUGAUGCUGAUGUUGAGUAUGCCAGCAUCCACUUCAAUGCCUUCGACACACAGGAAGCACACUCGAUAAGCAUCAGACCAAGCGCUGCCAGUCGGUCUGAAGAGUACACUGUCAUCUACAGUGCAGUCGGCACUGCAGAACUUGAGCAUAAAGGACUAACAGAGGUUGCUUAAACUCAGCCGAGUGAUGGCCACAGAGGAUGAACAAAAGCUACUGUCAGUGCAUCACUUUAAUGGAUUCUUUCCUUGAUGAACUGGACUGGACUGGAGAUGGUUUAGAAUAGGCAGGUUCUUGGUGUUGCACCGGUAUUUGUUAAUUGGUGAGAAGACAUAAAUUGAUGAGUAUUGUUUUUUGGUGGUGCAACAGAUCCAUUGAGUUGAUCAGGACUGUUUAUGUAAUGCUGUGGACCGCCAGUAAGGGAAGCUCUGAGUUACAAAAACAUUGCCAUUCCUUUCAACUUGUCACAACAAUAUUAUACUUCCAAGACCAGAAUCAGGACCCAAGUUAUUGAAGAU
Molecule: long non-coding RNA, 2140 nt
Organism: Clupea harengus (Atlantic herring)
Lineage: Eukaryota; Metazoa; Chordata; Actinopteri; Clupeiformes; Clupeidae
Exons: 6
Source: RefSeq, a predicted model, not a curated record